Molecule: RNA transcript, 4054 nt
Organism: Papaver somniferum (opium poppy)
Lineage: Eukaryota; Viridiplantae; Streptophyta; Magnoliopsida; Ranunculales; Papaveraceae
Gene name: copper-transporting ATPase HMA4-like
Exons: 10
Source: RefSeq, a predicted model, not a curated record
UAAAACAAUUAGCUAGUUUUAACAUAAUGUGUUUUGUUUUAACUAAAGAUCAGAUAAGCUUUGUCAGACAUGAGUCUAGCUACGGAACCAUUUGGGUGAUCAGUAAUUUUAGUGUUAGUUUUUCUUGCAGGACCAACAACAGCCCAGGAAUGCAGACAGUUUUGUGCUAUUAUGACGUGGCAGGUGACUUAAAAGUGUUUGCCACGUUUUCUGACACGAUUUAACCUUUGAUGAAACUUUUUCGUCCACUUACAGAUCCAACGGCCGAGAUGCAAAUAUUACAUCUCUUAGUAUUGUCUUUUUGUGUCUAGACGUGGCAACCGCGUAAAAGCUGUAGGCGGACGUUGGUUAUUCGAAAUUUCGAAAACAAACAACAAAGAGACCUAGCCAAAAGCCUCUUCUUCUUUAUGAGUAGUGCCGAACUGACGUUCCCCCAACUUGCACAAACCCUAAUCUAGCAUCCAUCAUCACUCCUUUCUCGAUUGAUUGUUAUCACUUUGUUCCUUUUUAUCUCUAUUUUACGAGUUACUUUUUUGCUUUUGGUUCAGUGGAAUUUUAGUUUUUCGAGAAACCCUAGAAUUCCUUCACGUGGUGCGGCCAAACUUUGUAACGAGACGACAAAAUAUCUGCAAAGAGGCGUGCAAAAUGGACAAGAAUGAAGGAGAUGAUUUUCUCAAGGAGCCUCUAUUACAACAUUCUGAUAGUGUUACGGUUACUGUGUAUCAAGAUGAAGUAAAGAAAACAAGGACUAUUAUGUUUAAAAUUGGGAAUGUCAAGUGUGCGUCCUGUGUUACAUCAAUUGAAUCCGCGUUGGGAAUGGUUAAUGGUAUCAGGAGCAUAAUGGUAUCGGUUCUGCAAGGCCAAGCUGUUAUUAAAUAUGCACCAGACCUCAUCAAUGUUAAAUUAAUAAAAGAAGCCAUUGAAAACUUAGGCUUCCAAGUUUUUGAGUUCCCGGAACGGGAUGUAGCCGUAUGCCGGCUCAGAGUUAAAGGUAUGACAUGUACUAGCUGCUCUGAAUCCAUUGAAAAUGCACUGCUAAUGGUUGAUGGAGUGAAGACAGCCGUCGUGGGCUUAUCCCUUGAAGAAGCAAAGAUUCACUUUGAUACCACCCUCACUGAUUCGGACGAACUCAUCCAAGCAAUUGGAGAUGCUGGCUUUGAAGCAGAUCUCAUUACGACUGGGAAUGAUGGUAACAAAGUGCAUUUAUGUCUUGAAGGGAUCACUUCUAAUGAAGAUUUGACUAUUAUUCGGUCCUCUCUUGAAUCAGUACAAGGGGUGAACCAUGUUGACAUGGAUACAGAGGCCAAUAAGGUAACUAUAUUAUAUGACUCGGAGUUCACUGGUCCGAGAUCUCUCAUUCAAUGUAUCCAAGAAGCUGGACAACAGCCUAACUUCUACCAUGUCAGCUUGUAUGUUUCCCCGAGCCGAAGAGAAGCUGAGAGUCAGCAUGAGAUUUUGGGCUAUAGAAACGUAUUUCUUUGGAGCUGCCUAUUUUCAGUUCCCGUGUUUAUCUUCUCCAUGGUACUUCCCAUGGUUCCUCCUUACGGGAACUGGUUAUCUCAUAAGCUUUACAACAUGCUCACAGUUGGGAUGAUUCUAAGAUGGAUUCUCUGCACGCCAGUGCAAUUCAUCGUUGGACGGAGGUUUUACGUUGGGUCCUUUUAUGCACUGAAACGGCGGUCCGCUAAUAUGGAUGUUCUCGUCGCCUUGGGCACAAAUGCUGCUUAUUUUUAUUCGCUGUAUAUUUUAAUAAAAGCAUUAUGUUCUAAUUCAUUUGAAGGUCAAGAUUUCUUUGAGACCAGUGCAAUGUUAAUUACUUUUAUUCUCCUGGGAAAGUAUUUGGAGGUGGUAGCGAAGGGGAAGACAUCUGAUGCAUUAGCUAAGCUUACCGAUCUUGCCCCAGAUACAGCUUUUCUGCUCUCUUUCGACGGAGAUGGCAAUAUUAUCUCAGAGAAUGAGAUUAGCACAUCACUGAUACAGAAGAAUGAUGUGAUCAAGAUAGUUCCUGGAGCAAAAGUUCCUGUUGAUGGGAUUGUUAUAAAGGGUCAGAGUCAUGUGAAUGAGAGCAUGAUUACUGGCGAAGCAAGGCCAAUGGCUAAAAGGCCAGGAGAUAAGGUUACUGGUGGAGCUGUGAACGAAAAUGGAUGCUUGCUAGUUAAGGUCACUCACGUUGGAUCAGAGACUGCAUUGUCCCAAAUAGUUCAGCUGGUGGAAGCUGCUCAGCUUAAUAGAGCGCCUGUUCAGAAACUGGCUGAUCGAGUUUCCAGGGUCUUUGUUCCUGUGGUUGUUGUGGCAGCCGUCCUCACAUGGUUGUGCUGGUUCAUACCCGGAGAAGCUGCUGUUUACCCUAAAGACUGGAUUCCAAAUGCCAUGGACAGCUUUGAGCUGGCGCUGCAAUUUGGUAUUUCAGUAUUGGUAGUUGCCUGUCCAUGUGCUUUGGGACUAGCAACCCCAACAGCUGUCAUGGUUGCCACCGGAAAAGGGGCUUCUCAAGGUGUUCUUAUCAAGGGUGGAAGUGCACUUGAAAAGGCACACAAAGUAAAAAUUGUUGUCUUCGAUAAAACAGGUACUCUGACUGUGGGAAAACCUGUAGUGGUUAACACGAUGGUUUUUUCUGACAUGCCCAUUCAAGAGUUCUGUGAAAUCGCUGCAGCUGCGGAGGUAAACAGCGAGCACCCGAUAGCUAAGGCUGUUGUGCUACAUGCUAAGAAACUCCAUCAGCAGUACGGUUUGAACUCAGAACACAUUACAGAAGCGGAGGACUUUGAGGUGCACCCGGGAUCUGGGGUCAGCGGGAAAGUUGGUGACAAAAUGGUUUUUGUUGGGAAUAAGAGGCUAAUGGCGGCUCGGAAUAUAUUGCUCGGUACUGAAGUUGAGGACUACAUGUUAGAGAGCGAACAGCUUGCUCGCACUUGUGUCUUGGUUGCUGUCGAUGGGAGGGUUGCUGGAGCUUUGGCCGUGACUGAUCCUGUAAAACCGGAAGCCGAGCAAGUAAUAUCAUUCCUUAAAUCAAUGAACAUUACGAGCAUAAUGGUGACUGGUGACAACUGGGCUACAGCAACUGCCAUAGCCAAGGAAGUUGGAAUUGUUAAGGUGUUUGCAGAGACAGAUCCACUUGGAAAAGCUGAUAAGAUUAAGGAGUUACAGUUGAAAGGAUUAGCUGUAGCAAUGGUGGGUGAUGGAAUCAAUGAUUCUCCAGCCUUAGUCGCAGCUGAUGUUGGCAUGGCAAUCGGAGCCGGUACUGAUGUUGCUAUUGAAGCUGCUGACAUAGUUCUUAUCAAGAGCAACUUGGAAGAUGUAAUAACAGCCAUUGAUCUCUCUAGAAAGACACUUGCCAGGAUUAGACUCAACUAUGUGUGGGCCCUUGGCUAUAAUGUACUUGGAAUGCCAAUAGCUGCUGGCAUAUUGUUCCCGUUCACUGGAAUUAGGUUACCACCUUGGCUUGCUGGUGCUUGCAUGGCUGCAUCAUCAAUUAGUGUAGUCUGUUCUUCUCUUCUGUUGCAGUCGUACAAAAAACCAUUGCACAUUGAAGAUACCCGAGGACCUGUUGGAUAUUCUAACUCAGUCUGAGAGAACUUAGCUUACAUCUCUUCCUUCUCAGGCAGUCAAAGAAGCCACUGCUACAAAUUAACACACUAAUUGGGCCACCGUUUUGAAAAGGUAGUUAAAACAAGAAGAGUGGGUAACUAUAAGUAUCCAAGUUACUUGCUAUGUUUCUUCUUUUACAGGACUCAGGAUUGCUCCGGAUUCCAUGCGUAUGUAUCUGGCUGUGGAUACGACUUAACUUACGAGGUCAAUAUUGUGUCAGACCUUUCAUCGGGUAUUUUUCAUGGGGACAAGUAAGGUUCAUUUUUCACUGAUCUGACUGGUUCUGCUUUUGUUACGCUGAUGAUUUGCAAGGAAAUAAAUCAUCAGAAUCAAGUUUUGGAACCAUUGACACCUAAUAAAAUCAAUUUACACCUCACUAGAAAGAUAUACUGCCGAGAUCAUUUUGUAUACUGUUUUACUUUUACAUCACUAAUUUCAAUAAUCAUUCUUAAACAGCUUUCUAAUA